GAUGAACGCUGGCGGCGUGCCUAACACAUGCAAGUCGAGCGAUUCUCUUCGGAGAAGAGCGGCGGACGGGUGAGUAACGCGUGGGUAACCUGCCCUGUACACACGGAUAACAUACCGAAAGGUAUGCUAAUACGGGAUAACAUAAAGAAGUCACAUGGCUUUUUUAUCAAAGCUCCGGCGGUACAGGAUGGACCCGCGUCUGAUUAGCUAGUUGGUAAGGUAAUGGCUUACCAAGGCGACGAUCAGUAGCCGACCUGAGAGGGUGAUCGGCCACAUUGGAACUGAGACACGGUCCAAACUCCUACGGGAGCAGCAGUGGGAAUAUUGCACAAUGGGCAAAGCCUGAUGCAGCAACGCCGCGUGAGCGAUGAAGGCUUUCGGGUCGUAAAGCUCUGUCCUCAAGGAGAUAAUGACGGUACUUGAGGAGGAAGCCCCGGCUAACUACGUGCCAGCAGCCGCGGUAA
RNAcentral lists this ribosomal RNA (464 nucleotides) under uncultured bacterium. RNAcentral describes it as "bacterial SSU rRNA". It matches the Rfam family "Bacterial small subunit ribosomal RNA", at positions 28 to 523 of the family's 1533-position model. The record is from RNAcentral.